GUCAAAUAGGUGCGGUAAAACAUCGAAUAUAUUCUUCACAUGUGCGCACGUUUACUAUUUUUCUGUUGCGGUAGUGGAGUGAUUGUUGUUGAUCCUGCUUUGAAAAUAGUUAAAGCCGUUAAAGCACUUUAAGUUUGUUUUCUGGAUGUGUGAUCAGUGAUAAAUUGUUAUUAUUGUUACUAUCAUUAUUCGGCUUUCGAUCCGAUCUACAGCAUCCAGUAACAUGGUCUACAUCGAGCCAUCUUUUCCGCGUGGUCGCAAAGCUGAAGACAGCGAGGAUAAUAAACCACGAAAGCGCUUAAAGAAGAAUGCGGAUUACGGUGCAUCUACGACAACCGAGGAGAGAUCACAGAAACCUCGCCAAAAGGAACGACAACAGUCACGCAUAGAGCAAAUGGAACAAGAUAAAGACGAUCUCGAACAGAGUAUCAAAGCUGCUAACCUGCACUUCAGAACGGCUUGCGAGGGAAUGCUUGUGUUCGGCUGUGUGUACAAGAUACAACAGAUGGAAUUGAUAAUUUCGCUACCGGGAAGGCUUUUUGGUUCGGUACCAUUACGUUCGAUUUCGAAUGCUUAUUCUAACAGGCUUCAAAGUCUGCUGCAUAGUAGCACUACCACCGGCGAGGAACGUUGUCCUGGUCUGGGUGAACUUUAUUCAGUCGGUGAUUUGGUAUAUGUCAAAAUCAAAACCAAAAAUGAAAAGGAUAGAAAGCUAGAACUGACGCUGGAUCCAAGCGAAUUGCACAGUGAAUUCAAUCACAAACAUCUGGUUGAGGGACUGAUUUUGAGUGCAACUAUCGAAGAGGAAGAAGAUCAUGGAUAUCAAAUGGAUGUCGGUAUGAAAAAUGUUCGAGCCUUCCUUCCCGCGCAGAGCUUGAAUAAGAAUAAGACCGAGGUAGGAUCCAAUAUUUACUGUGCCGUUGAGAAGAUCACCAAGGCAAAGGGUUGCGCGACAAUAAUUUUGAGGGCUUUCAAACCAACGGAGCCAAGAAAGUUGGAAAUAGCUAAACCUAAUAUAGAUGCACUCGUUCCCGGCUCGGUCGUCACAUUUUCGGUGGAAUCUACUUUGAAAAACGGCUUGCAAGGUACCUUGUUUGAUGAUACCGUUCCGGCUUUCGUCAAUGAAAACAUGUUGGAGAGACCACUUUCGAAACUGCAAAAUUACGAAUCCAAACUACUGCAAGCUCGCAUUUUGUACGUAAUGCCAAUGACCAAACAUGUUUUCCUGACUUUGGCCAAUUAUGACGGAAACAAAGCUACCGUUGGCGAUCCCGUGGCUCCCGGUACCAUUGUGGAGGAUGCGAAAAUUAUUCACAAAUGUUCGAAUGGUAUUUGGUUCCAGCUUGGCAAGAAGCACAAAGGUCUGCUACCGAGGUAUAUAUUGAAGGAAAAGUACAGCCAGAAUUACGAUGAACAAAUUGUAAUGGCUAAGUAUCAGCUAAAUUCCGUGCACAAGGUGCGCGCGAUACGGUUCGAUGCUUUCGACCGAACCACGAUUGUUACCGACGAAGAGAAAUUGAUUGAGAGUAAAUUUUUCACCUUAAACGACGUCAAGGUGGGAGAAAUGUACGACUGCCGCGUCACUAGUAUCUUGAGCAGUAAUCGAGGCUAUCUCGUAAAGUUGGAUCAAAUAAAGGGACUAGUUUCUUCCCAUAACUUUGGCCAGCAUAAAUCUGUGGCGGUUAAUCAAACCGUACGGCUCCGACUAAUAGCCAUCGAUGAAGAUCGUAAAAUGGCCCAAUUUUCCAACCAUCCAGAGUACCUUAAAAAGUCCGUCAAAUUAAUUACCAGCCGGGAACACAUUGAAGUCGGUCAAAGCUACCACGGCACAGUCAUUUCCGAAAAGGAUAAGUUCUUUGUAGUGGCAUUCUGUAACAAGAUCACGGGUAUUCUGUUUAAAUUCUGCCGUGACGUAGCGCAAGAUCAAGACAAAAUAGCGCGUUUGAAACUAGGUGUAGUUGACCGGUUCACCGUGCAUAAUAUGUCGGAAGAUGGAGAAAGAAUAACAAUUUCGAUACCACUGACUGCGGGUAGUACAAAUUUGGGUCACACCGCCACAGCUACCAUUACCGGAGUGUUCGCUACCGGAGCGGAUGUUUACCUAGUCAAAGAGAACGAAACGGGCACGCUUCCGACGGACAUGUUUUCUGACUUUCCCGAGCACAACGCUGUGUUCGUGAAUGUUGUGAAGGAGGGCGAGCAGUUGCCGGUGGUCAAUCUGAGAGAGAAUGUUUUCAGCCGCCGGGAUGUCGAGUACUUCAAACGGAGGCCGACCCUCGUGAAAGACGUCAAGUGUGGACACAUAUUGAGAGCUUACUGCGUCGGAUCGGAGAAAGGCAAAUUUUCACUCCAGCUCGCGUUGAAAGAUUACCCGACCAGGGUGGUGCUUCCGUUGGCGAUGGUUUCCGCCCGCAAGAGCUUGCUGACGCUCGACGAUGGACAGGUGAUUCUGGUGAAGGUGACGAAGCUCGUCCAAAAACCGACCGGAGUGCUCUUGAUUGUGUCUCCCAAAAUGCAAGAUGUGUGCGUUCACGGAGUGGAUGAGGUGCUGCGAUAUGUGCAACGCUAUGUCACAGAGGUUAACGGACUUAUUAGAAGAUUCAUAUCCCGUGGGAAAUCUUUCGCGCAAUACACCGUUGGCCAGACGGUGAUGUGUGAGGUGGACAGCUUAGUCGAUGAUAGCGACCAAAUGAUUGUGCGGCUCUGCCAAUCUGGUAGCGAUUUUGACGGCGAACAAACGAAGGCAAUUGCUGCGAAGGACCCGAAAAAAGAUGAUUACGCCGUUGGCGAUGAACUGCUGGGACGGAUCGUUUGGGUGGACAUCGAGAAGCAGUUGGUGCAUGUUUGCGUCGUGAAAAAACUUCUCAAGAAUAUAAUCAACGGUGAUCUGAAAGCCGACAUACCGUCGGAACUAUUCGACGUUGAUGUGAAGCGCGAUUUCGUUAUACUAUUCAGCAAUAGGUACAUAGCUAUCGGCUGCUUGCGGAAAGUGGAUUGUCCACUUGUGGCUGUACCUGUGAAAUGUCACUAUAAUGACUUUGACCCGAUCGAUGUACAGCAGACGGCGAAAGUAGUGUUGAUAAGACAACACGAGGAACUUGUCUACGGAAUGUUCGAGGAAAGUUACGACAAAUUCAAAGAAUUGAAGUUUGUGAAGAAGGAUGAGUCAGAGAUCAAAAAAGGUAAAAAUUGUUGGUUGCCGGAUAAUUUCGAGGAGCCAGAAGACGAAAUAGGUUCAGAGGAGGAACCACAAGAAUCUUCUGAUGCAAAUGAGGAAAACGAUAGCGAAGGAAACGAACAAAGCGAUUCUGGAAUUGAUAAAGAUGAUGAAAAACCACCCAAAAAGGCCAAGAAGAAGCAAAAGAAAUUAAUUGAGGUCGAAAAAAUUGCUGCUGCAUUGCCAGAAAAAAAUCUCAAAGAUAAGAAACAAAAGAAGAAAGCAAUGACGAUGAAGCUCGAGGAUUCGAAUUCUACCGAUAAAACAACGGAAGAAAUUCAGUCUCCAGUGAACACAACCAAGAAGUCUAAGAAAAAGCAAAAGGGAAAAGCCUCCAAAGAGCCAAAAGUUCCAAAGCUCACUGGAACAAAUGCGGUUGCAUCGCCCGGAAAAGCAUUAAAGGUCAAGCAGAAGAAGAAGAAAGCAGUGGAGAAAAAACUUAAAGGUGCGAAGUCUUUCGUUAUCAGUCAAUUGGACGGGGCGGAUGAUUUUGUCGCGCUGAAGAAAAAAGGAAAAAACAAGCAACGGAAACAUUUUUUAUCCGAGCGCCCGACUGCCAAAGCUCCUGAUUUGGUAGGGAGCAAGCAGUCGGGUUGCGGAAAAGGUGCACACGAGCAUACUAAUAAGUUUGAGAAAAAAGACACGCUUCAACAGGUUGCCAAGCAAACAAAGUUCAAGUCCAAACCGAAUAAGAAAAUCAAAAUUGACGCAGAAAGUGCAAACGACGCUGUUCGAGAAUUGGCAAAAGAUUCAAAGACUCGCCAUAAGGAUGUGGCACUCCCAGGGGCGGAAAGUUUCUGGUCUGUCGCCACUUCAGCCCAGAUCCGGAAGCAGGAGUCUGAUUCCAGUGACGAUGAUGAUCAACCAGAAGAGUCGGUGAAAAAGCGCCUUACAGCCAAGGAACGGUUCGAUGCCAUGAAACAAGAGGAGGAGCGAAUUCGGAAAAUUGAAGAGGAAUUAGCGGACGCUUCGGUCGAUCCGCAUACCCCUGAUCAGUUCGAUCGAUUAGUAUUGGCUCAGCCAAACAGUAGUCUACUGUGGAUUCGCUACAUGGUGUUCCACAUGGAAUCGGCUGAAAUUGAGAAGGCCCGUGGUGUUGCUCGACGUGCAUUGAAAACUAUCAACUACCGAGAGGAAGCGGAAAGAUUGAACGUUUGGAUCGCUCUGCUCAAUCUUGAGCUACGGUACGAAACGAUAGAGAAAUUCAAAGAAGUAUUGCUCGAAGCAAUCCAGUGUAACGACGAUUACAAAGUUUACUCACGAGUUAUCGAGAUUUUAAUCGAUUGCGGAAAGGUGCCAGAAGUUCUAGAAAUGAUCGAAACAUUGCAGAAAAAAUUCCGCAAGCAACCGGAAAUGUGGCUUCUGGUUGCCACCUGUUAUUACAAAAUAGGACAUCGAUCGAACGUGAAGCCACUGCUGAGUAAGGCACUAAAAUCAUUGGAGAACAAGGAACACAUCCCACUGAUUUUGAAGUUCGCCUUUUUGCACAACCGAAACGACGAGCGCGAUGAGGCACACAUCCUUUUCGAGCAGAUACUGUCCUCCUACCCGAAGAGAACCGAUGUUUGGUCUCAAUACGUAGACCUGCUGGUGAAGGAUGGUUUGCUGGACGCCGCCCGUCAAACGUUGGAUCGAGCCAUCGUCCAACGAUUGCCAAUGAGAAACAUGAAAACCUUGUACACCAAGUAUGUUAACUUCGAAGAGAAGCAUGGCGACCGGGAAUCGGUAAGGAAGAUAAAGCAGAUGGCAGCGGAUUACGUCAAGCAGCAGCUUAGUGCCAAUGGCGUCGCAGCAAAUUCGGCCGCCGUUAAUGAUGAAUAAAUCGAGAGGUUAAUCAAGAGUAGUCCUUAGUAUACGCCAAAUAAAUUAGCAAAUUUAAUACAGAUAUCUAAAUCCACCGUUGAUGAACAUCUGGUGAUCCGUUGGCUACCCUGCCCGUGAGUGCAAGAGCGAGAUGAAUGGAGUAACAGCAUAACAACGAACAGCACCCGAGCGUGCCGAUCAAAGCCGACAGGACAAACACCCCACCAACUUUCCGACAAAAGCAAAAGGAGCGCAGAA
Molecule: RNA transcript, 5278 nt
Organism: Toxorhynchites rutilus septentrionalis
Lineage: Eukaryota; Metazoa; Arthropoda; Insecta; Diptera; Culicidae
Gene: Rrp5
Gene name: protein RRP5 homolog
Exons: 7
Source: RefSeq, a predicted model, not a curated record